This 211-nucleotide ribosomal RNA is filed under the name Hemigrapsus takanoi. Its description in RNAcentral is "partial 16S ribosomal RNA". The record is from RNAcentral. Lineage: Eukaryota; Metazoa; Arthropoda; Malacostraca; Decapoda; Varunidae.
UUGGAUCUUGUAUGAAUGGUUGGACAAAAAAAAAUCUGUCUUUAUAUUGUUUAUUGAAUUUAACUUUUAAGUGAAAAGGCUUAAAUAAAUUAAAGGGACGAUAAGACCCUAUAAAGCUUAAUAUUAAUAUUUUACUUAGUUAAAUUUUCUUGUUUAUAAAAACUUAGUAAUUGAAUUUAUUUUAUUGGGGCGAUAAAGGUAAAAUGACUAC